AAAAAAGUAGCAAUAAAACAUUUCCCUCUUGUUGGGGAUUUAUGCAGAGUUAAAUUCCAAAAGUCCUUGAAAACAUUUCAUACAUUGCAUCGCAUAACAUAACAUUGCAUAACAGGUGUUCUAAAAGACCAUAUUCUCACGGUCUGCCUCUUAAACAGAAAAAUGGAUCUCGAACAGACUGUCAAAGAUCUCCAGACUCAGA
RNAcentral lists this long non-coding RNA (202 nucleotides) under Lathyrus oleraceus (garden pea). Its description in RNAcentral is "Pisum sativum (pea) long non-coding RNA (PSAT_LNC034631)". Lineage: Eukaryota; Viridiplantae; Streptophyta; Magnoliopsida; Fabales; Fabaceae. The record is from RNAcentral.